CACAAUAUAUAAUAAAUUUGAUAGAAUAUUUGUUUAGUCUUGAUAUAUAUCUUUUUAAAUAAACUAUCUGUAUACAAAUAUUUAAAAAAAAAAAUCAUUUUUAUUUCUUGGUUAUUAUCAUUACUGUUAAACGUUCUGGUCAAUCUAUUUUUGUGUAUCACACCUUAUAUAGAUGCCUCGUUUUUCCUCUCUUUGAAUUUAUAUAUGUUUAAGAAUAAUCUUAUGUAUUUUGUUUUCAAUAAAUCCAGGUAUCAGAACACUGAAUGCAGCCAAACAGGAAGAAGAAAGGGUCUAACAGACAGACUUUAAGCAGUAUAAAAUGAUUGCAUUAAUGCUUUUAAUGAAUUAAAUUCCCAAUUGUCUAUUUUUCAUUGGAUACCAAUUUU
This 386-nucleotide long non-coding RNA is filed under the name Mytilus galloprovincialis (Mediterranean mussel). The record is from RNAcentral. Lineage: Eukaryota; Metazoa; Mollusca; Bivalvia; Mytilida; Mytilidae.